RNAcentral lists this ribosomal RNA (448 nucleotides) under uncultured bacterium. Its description in RNAcentral is "bacterial SSU rRNA". It matches the Rfam family "Bacterial small subunit ribosomal RNA", at positions 328 to 793 of the family's 1533-position model. The record is from RNAcentral.
CAGCCAGACUCCUACGGGAGGCAGCAGUGGGGAAUAUUGCACAAUGGGCGAAAGCCUGAUGCAGCGACGCCGCGUGAAGGAUGAAGUCUUUCGGUAUGUAAACUUCUAUCAGCAGGGAAGAAAAUGACGGUACCUGACUAAGAAGCCCCGGCUAACUACGUGCCAGCAGCCGCGGUAAUACGUAGGGGGCAAGCGUUAUCCGGAUUUACUGGGUGUAAAGGGAGCGUAGACGGCGAUGCAAGCCAGAUGUGAAAGCCCGGGGCUCAACCCCGGGACUGCAUUUGGAACUGUGUGGCUGGAGCGUCGGAGAGGCAGGCGGAAUUCCUAGUGUAGCGGUGAAAUGCGUAGAUAUUAGGAGGAACACCAGUGGCGAAGGCGGCUUACUGGACUGUAACUGACGUUGAGGCUCGAAAGCGUGGGGAGCAAACAGGAUUAGAUACCCGAGUAC